GGACGCAUAGCUCAGCGGGAGAGCGCUCCCUUCACAUGAGAGAGUCCGAGGUUCGAUCCCUUGUGCGCCCACCA
RNAcentral lists this transfer RNA (74 nucleotides) under Hyphomicrobiales bacterium. RNAcentral describes it as "tRNA-Val". It matches the Rfam family "tRNA". From Rfam's summary of the family: Transfer RNA (tRNA) molecules are approximately 80 nucleotides in length. Their secondary structure includes four short double-helical elements and three loops (D, anti-codon, and T loops). Lineage: Bacteria; Pseudomonadati; Pseudomonadota; Alphaproteobacteria; Hyphomicrobiales. The record is from RNAcentral.